GUAAAGUUGACAUCGAAAUUUACGCGGACGAAGUCGCGGGCGUCCGCUAGUGUCUGAUAAAUGAUUAUAUAAACGGCGUCAUGCGGUUGGUACAAUAACUUGCAGAUAUAGAAAAGAUUGUGGAUAAUAAAGAAGUGGCAGAGAUUUUACUGUCAGAUCUACCUCAAGAAUAUGAUGUUUGUUGUAUCCAGCCCUGAGACAGCAUGUUUAGCCAAUAGCUUGACAAGCGAGGUGAUUAGAAUGCGACUACUACAAGAUCAUCGGUGAAGUACUAACACCAACUCAACAGCUUACAUCACAAACAAGAAAAAAGGCCCCAUUGUCAGCUGUACAUAUUGCAGGAAAAGCAAUAAUACAGUUCAGCGCUGUUUCAAGAGCAAGCGCAACCAAAAUAAUCAAAACGAGAAGAAAGAACACACCAUGGUUGUUUCGGCAUAUUCAGUGACAACUGCUGCUGAUGACUUUAUUAUAGACUCUGGUGCGUCUUGUCACAUGGUGAAGGAUGACAAGCUAGUGAUAGACGCCAAGGAUAGAAGUUGUAACAUCUCUGUAGCAAACGGCCAAAAUAUUUAAAAAACAAAGAGCCAAAUAGUUGCGUUUCUUGUCUUACCGGUAAGGAGGCAUGAGUCAUCUUAUCCCCGGUCAAGUACAAAACAUGCUACUUCUCCGUUGGACCUGAUCCAUAGUGACUUAUGUGGCGCAAUCCAAGUCAGCAGAUGGGGUGGAGCUCACUUCUUGCUUACCUACACUGAUGACUGUACCAGAAAAACCUUUGGUUACCUUAUGAAGAAUUAAUCCAAGAUGUGACUUUAAGCCAACCAGUGCUGCCAGUGAAGAUUCUGCAGAGGACAUUGACGAUGAUUGUGAGGUGAUAAAUCGAAUAAACAAAGUCUAAAAGAUGAUGUUUAUAGCUAUAGACAAUUAUUAAGAUUUUUAAUGUAUUUAUCUGUCUGUACUCCACCUGAUAUAUCAUAUGCUUGCAGUUAACUUAGUCAAUACAUUACAUGUUUUGAUAUAGAUCAUUGUCGUGCUGCUAAAAGUGUUCUAAGGUAUUUGGCAGGUACCAAAAAUUAUGGACUUUGUUAUUCUAAAGUAAAUAAUUUAAGUGUAGAUGUUUUACUGAUGCAGAUUGGGCUAAAGAUCUGUGAUCGUAAAUCCUACACAAGUUUAGUCAUUAAAUUGGGUGGCAACGUUUUCAACUGGGAAUCUAGAAAACAGUGUUGCAUUGCCUUGUCUAUUAUGAAGGCUGAGUAUUUGGCAGUUAGUGAUGUAUGUAAAGAUAUAUGUUUUGUUCAGAACUUCUUAGUUCUCAGAAAUUGCUGCUAGUAAAGGAGUACUCAUAUAAAUGAACAAAACACAUAGAUUUGCACUAUCAUUUUGUAAAAGAUCUUGUACAAAAAGGUAUAAUAAAUGUAAAUACUUUACAUUUAUUAUACCAACAGAAAAAAUGUUAGCGGAUGUGUUAACAAAGCCUUUAUUUUGUAAUAAACAUUAUAAUUGUGUGAGAGAGAUAAAUCUCAAAGAAAUCAAAUAGUGUCAGUUUAGGUUAAUAUCGAAGGUUUCACAUCUGAUGUCAUAGUUUGUAGUAUGUGUUUGCAUAUUUACUAGGAUAAAUACACGUAUUUUCUUUUAUAUUAGUAGGUAUACUAGCGGACGUCCAUAUGAAACCCUACUACUACCCUACCCUACUCUCACUCUACAGCUACCCUACCAUACAGGGGAUGAGUAGGGACUCAACCCUACCCCUACCCUACCCCUAACCUCCUCCUACAGACCUCUACAGAUUUAUUAUAAGUAUAGAUAAAGACAUAUUAAUUAUGAUACUUGUUUUGUUUGUAAAAGUAUAAGAAGGAGUGUUGGAAAUAUUGUCUAUGCGUCUACAACUCGUUUAUAAUUGUUUAUGGAAACACUGAUCUGUCAUCUAUGUAAGCUUGUCAUAAGCUCUCUCUAACCAGCCAUGCGGUGCAAACCCUUAGCCCAUAUUGUUGUAAAGUUUAUUUCAAUAAAAGCAAGUUUGAUUCUUGAAUUGAUUUGUUUUAUCAUGCUCAACUCGCUGAUGUUGCCCUGCGACAAUAUCUAUACACAUAUACACAUAUCUAAUUUUACGAGAAACUAAUUAUUAUGAUUAUAUGUAUAAAAACAUAAAAAAAAAACCAGAUAGUCGACCUAUCUGGUUUUUUUUAUAUAUAAGUUAGUCGUAUUUAUAUAAUUUUGUGGAAUCUUCCUCAUAUAAAACCUCAAUAGCUCAACGGUAAGAGCGGUUGGACUCAUCACCGAGGGGUGGUGGUUCAAUCUUCACCCUGUUGGUCUAUUGUCGUACCCACUCCUCGUACAGUCUUUCCUGACUAGUUGGAGGGGAAUGCGAAUAUUGGUCAUAUUAUAUAAAAUAUAGCAAAUAUUCCUUUUUUUUUUUU
Long non-coding RNA from Bicyclus anynana (squinting bush brown), 2414 nucleotides. RefSeq lists it as uncharacterized. NCBI's taxonomy places the organism in Eukaryota, Metazoa, Arthropoda, Insecta, Lepidoptera, Nymphalidae. The transcript has 3 exons. The record is from RefSeq and is a predicted model, not a curated record.